UCUAAUCUGCCCACUGAUAUAAUAUUAAAGGGGUGCAGUAUUUUGAGUGUACAAAGGUAGCAUAAUCAUUAGUCUUUUAAUUGAAGACUUGUAUGAAUGAUUGGAUGAAAUAUAAACUGUCUCUAAUAUUAUUAGUUAGAAUUUAAUUUUUUUAUUAAAAAGUAAAAAUAAAUUUAAAAGACGAGAAGACCCUAUAGAGUUUUAUAAUUAAUUUAAUUGAAAUUAUUUAUAAAGAUAAUUUUAAAUUAAUAAAUUAAAAUUAAGUUAAUUAUUUUGUUGGGGUGAUAAAAAAAUAAAAAUAACUUUUUUUAAUAAAUAUAUAUAUAUAUAUAUAUAUAUAUAUAUAUUGUAAACAAAAAUAAAUGAUUUUUUGAUCCAGAAUUUUUGAUUAUAAGAAAAAAUUACCUUAGGGAUAACAGCGUAAUUUUUUUUUUUAGUUCAAAUAAGAAAAAGAGUUUGCGACCUCGAUGUUGGAUUAAGGAAAAAUUUAAAUGCAAAAGUUUAAAAUUUUG
Molecule: ribosomal RNA, 512 nt
Filed under: Cryptoses choloepi
Lineage: Eukaryota; Metazoa; Arthropoda; Insecta; Lepidoptera; Pyralidae
Description: partial 16S ribosomal RNA
Source: RNAcentral